AGAGGUUUUUUUUAGGGGGAUAAAGGAUUGACGGCUGAAAACUGGGCAGAGGGCUACGAAGAGAGAGUGAGGGAUCAACGGGGAGGUUUAGAAGGCAACAAAAGAAAGAAAAAGGAGAGAGCUUUGACGGUUGAAGGCUGGGAAGAAAGAAACCAAAGGAAAGGUGACGGUUGAACAAAUCAGAGAAGAGGACGGUCGGACAAAGGAAGCAGAGCAUCCCAGUGACGACGGAAAACCAAAAAACCAGCAAAGGAAACCACCAGAGCAAGAGGAAAGACCGAAGCUUUCACUUUCUCUCCAUCAAUCAAAAAAGAAAGAAUUUCAGAUAAAUAAGUGAUUUUACUUCAUUGGGGCCCAAUUUCAAGGGAGGUGCAGCCCUCCACAUGCAAGCCAUAAAAAAGCAAAUUUGAUCAUGCAUUGUCAGGAAAGAAUGAAGCAAAGAGGAAGAAAUGAGCCAUGAAAUGGGGCUAUGUAUGUAAUGAGUAAAUUUAAGAUCUUGGCCUUAGCAAUAUAUUAACGUUGCAAAUUUACCGUUGCAAAAAAUAAACCUGAUCGAAGUUGCUGACCAAAAUUAGAGUCAAGCUCUUAAAUUUUGUAAUGGAGGCCCUGAUGAUGCGUGUAAUGGGUAUUACACGGUCACAAUGUCACAAUGGAUGGCCCCGAUGAUGCGUGUAAUGGGUAUUACAUGGUCACAAUGGAUGGCCGUGUAAUACCCCCAUUACAAUGUCAGACAUUACACCACCGUUGGAGAUGCUCUUACCAUGCUACCAGUCAAAAAGUAUCUUUUUUAUGACAAAAAAAUACUGUUUAUUAUUGUAAUGGCAACUGGAAUUGAUAACAUUUAGUAAUUAA
Molecule: non-coding RNA, 852 nt
Organism: Coffea arabica (coffee)
Lineage: Eukaryota; Viridiplantae; Streptophyta; Magnoliopsida; Gentianales; Rubiaceae
Source: RefSeq, a predicted model, not a curated record